Molecule: ribosomal RNA, 469 nt
Filed under: uncultured bacterium
Lineage: Bacteria
Description: bacterial SSU rRNA
Rfam family: Bacterial small subunit ribosomal RNA
Source: RNAcentral
UGUCCAGACUCCUACGGGAGGCAGCAGUGAGGAAUAUUGGUCAAUGGGCUUACGCCUGAACCAGCCAAGUCGCGUGAGGGAAGACUGCCCUAUGGGUUGUAAACCUCUUUUGUCAGGGAGCAAUUGGCGCUACGUGUAGCGUUAUCGAGAGUACCUGAAGAAAAAGCAUCGGCUAACUCCGUGCCAGCAGCCGCGGUAAUACGGAGGAUGCGAGCGUUAUCCGGAUUUAUUGGGUUUAAAGGGUGCGUAGGCGGUCCGUUAAGUCAGCGGUAAAAUUGCGGGGCUCAACCCUGUCGAGCCGUUGAAACUGGCAGACUUGAGUUGGCGAGAAGUACGCGGAAUGCGCGGUGUAGCGGUGAAAUGCAUAGAUAUCACGCAGAACCCCGAUUGCGAAGGCAGCAUACCGGCGCCCUACUGACGCUGAGGCACGAAAGUGCGGGUAUCGAACAGGAUUAGAUACCCGAGUAGU